CCUACGGGUGGCAGCAGUGAGGAAUUUUGGGCAAUGGCCGGAAGGCUGAACCAGCCAAGCCGCGUGAACGACGAAGGUUUCAAGCAGUGUAAACUUCUUUUGUCAAGGGACAAAAUCAGGCUCGAGAGCCUGACAGAGGGUACUUGUAGAUAAACCAACGGCUAACUCUGCGCCAGAUGCCGCGGUAAUACGGAGGGUUCAAGCGUUGUCCGGUAUCAUGGGGCGUAAAGAGUUCGUAGGCGGCAUGGAAAGUCAGGUGUUAAAGGCGCAGGCUCAACCUGUGUAUGGCACUUGAUACUGGCAAGCUGGAAUGCGGUAGAGGGAAAGGGAAUUCCUGGUGUAGCGGUGAAAUGCUUAGAUAUCAGGAGGAACAUCGGUGGCGUAAGCGCUUUACUGGGCCGUAAUUGACGCUGAGGAACGAAAGCCAGGGUAGCAAAUGGGAUUAGAUACCCGGGUAGUC
This 460-nucleotide ribosomal RNA is filed under the name uncultured bacterium. RNAcentral describes it as "partial 16S ribosomal RNA". It matches the Rfam family "Bacterial small subunit ribosomal RNA", at positions 338 to 795 of the family's 1533-position model. The record is from RNAcentral.